CUUCCGCACUAGAAGGCUUUUCAAAUAUCUCUAGCAGCUUUUCCUGUAUAAUUAAAGCCAAACAUUGGCUGUUUCACAGGCUGCUCGCAUUGUGAGCUUCAGUCAUUGAACGAUGCAUUUAGACUUCUUUGGUCUUAUCGACUAACUUAAACACAGAUGCAGCUGGAUAGAAACAUAUAUGUCAUAAUCUAAGGUACACAUCUUGAAGCAACACCGUAUGGGUUGGGCCUGCAGUCCAGCAACAGUGCCGGCAUGUGCACUUUCACGAUCUUCUAGGAAAAAGGUGUCGCUCAAAAUGACAUGCAACUCGCAGAUCUGAUUGUAAUACACAACAUGUAUCGGUCAUAAUUAGGUGCAUGUUGUGCA
Molecule: long non-coding RNA, 366 nt
Filed under: Coccomyxa subellipsoidea
Lineage: Eukaryota; Viridiplantae; Chlorophyta; Trebouxiophyceae; Coccomyxaceae
Description: long non-coding RNA (CSUB_LNC000559)
Source: RNAcentral